GACUGUGGAAUGUCUCAUUGUUUAGCUCAACAAUGCUGUAGCUGUCCCAUGUACACAGUCACUCAUCCAUAGGGGCCUCAGCUUCUCAUGUGCCCUCACUCACACUCACCUUUCUCACAACCACAAAUGCAACAUACUUCUCUCCCCCAGGCUGCUGGAGAGUGGGUGUUAAAAAUAUGCAAGUUGACUGUGGAGAAGUUGAAAAUCACAUGAAUUUCAUGCUUCAGCAGACUGCUGUAUGAUGUGUCAUACCCAGGAGUCAUUGGAUAGGAUGGUGGCCAAUAGAUGGCUCUUUGCAAAUAUGGGCUGGCAGAGAACUGAGAAGCACUUAAUGGCAUUCAGGAAGGUGUGUUUUCUUGCAUCUGGAAGUCAGAAAAUGUGGUCUGAGGAGGGACAGAGUGGAAAGGCAAUGUAACCUUCAAAAAUGAGUCCCUAGAUAGUUUCUCUUGCAGAAAGUCUGGAGACAUAGACAAAUGCCUGAGACACCCAUGCACUAUAAGUGAGUAUAUAUUUGCCACAUUCCUUGAAUGUGUGGAAAAUAUGUGGGAGAGGAAGUCAGAGGGUCUAAAUUUAGGUGCCCUCAAGAGAAUUAAUCAGUACCACUUAUGUGUAGGCCAUUAAAAAGGACUGUAAUUUUGGAGAGCUCAUGCUAUGCCACAAUCAUCACAAACAUCCAGGUGGGAAUUCAAUUUGUCUUGUUUUAGUCACCUUUAAAGCUCCCGUGAUGGAAGGCAUCCUUUAUUUUUUGGGCUUUGUUUGUGUUGUUUUCUGUCACCUGUUAGGUGACAGCAACAUGGGCCAGCAGUAGGAAAGAGCUUCACCCACAGCUGGAGGUGAACCCACAGGGUGUGCUCAGGGUCAGACCUGCAGCAGGGUUUUGGGAGGCUGAGCAAACUACAGUUCCAGUUCUUUCUGAGCUGCUCGGAGAGGUGGGAAGCAGGGUAGAAAAGGUGAGCAGCAGUAAUCCCUGACAGGAUGACCAGUGAGGCAGGUUGUAAAUCAUGGUGUCCAUCUGGAUGAAUGAGCCAGAGCUGUGACACAUAGUCCUCGUGUGCUGCCCCCCCAGCUCCACAUGGCUUUCCAGAUCUAUUUACGUUGUGUGUAGUUUAAAGGCUUUGGAGCUAUGAAUCUCCUUUCCAGGGCUUGCUUUGUCUUUUCUUCUUUGUAUGCCAGUGCAUGUUGGUGGAUGGAGGAAUGCCAUGGAGUGGUGAGACCCAAGACAUGCAAUGGAGAGUGAGGAAAUAUGAAAAUAAGAGGGAAAAAGAAGAGGAAGAACAAAGGAAAUGGAAAAGGAAAAAAAGAGCCCGAAACUAGAUCCAGCAGCUUGUGCUAACUUCUUGCAAGUUAACCUCUCCAAGCUCCCAUGAGCAUAUCUAAGACAAACUUCUAUCUCCUAAAACCACUCUUAAGUCUCCUGACAUCUCGAAUGUAUCAUUCAGUGAAAGGCACAGCUACAAGGAUAAUAAUACAACAGCCAUGGCACAGAUGGUCAGUCAUGUCCAACAUUACAAAAUGGUGCAUCCAGUUGCAGAAAUGAGGAAGCUGCAAGAGGCAACAACUCCAGCCAUAGCAGCAUCAGAUUUUACCAUAGGAAAGCCAGGUUAUUUGCCAGUGUCUUACAAUGUAAAUUGAGAGUGUAACACCUGGCCCUGACACUGCAACAGGGCAGCAACCUUUAAUUGUAUUUUCCCUUUCCUUCCAGCCUGCCCUUCUGGAAGAUUUUGCUUUUGUAACUGAUGUAUUAAAGGUGCAAUAAAUGUUUAAUAAUUGGA
Vidua macroura (Pin-tailed whydah) is the source of this 1772-nucleotide long non-coding RNA. RefSeq lists it as uncharacterized. NCBI's taxonomy places the organism in Eukaryota, Metazoa, Chordata, Aves, Passeriformes, Viduidae. The transcript has 2 exons. The record is from RefSeq and is a predicted model, not a curated record.